GGUUUCUUUUUCUCAAACUCCAUUCAGAAAAGUGAUUUAGGUAACGAUACCUUAAUUAUUGAGGUAAAACUUGCAAACCUUAUUUAGACCUCAAGACCAAAUUAACGAAGGAGAAAAAAAGACAUAGAAGAGAGCGGGCCAAAGACUAAAUAAUUUGCAGGGUUUUUGAAUUUUAGCCGACACAUAAAUAUUUCUUACAACUUAAAGAGAAAAAGACAUCAUAUCCAUGGUAGAUGUGAAAGCUUAUGUGGUUUUCAGCAAAGUGUAUUCGGUGUGGGAGGUAGUACAAAAUAAAUAAGAAAAUAUCGUUAAAAUUAAGGAAAAACAACAUAUUUGAAACUGAUAUUACGUAUCUAACAAGGAAGACCAAUUAGGAAACAAAAAAAUAAAAAGAAGUGCGUGGAGUGAAAACAAAGAAGUAGUUUUGUUUGCAUUGGUCGAUUGAAUGUUAAAGUACAUCAUCUAUUUAUAGCAAACCACACUAGAUCUUGUUCACACAUAUAAAUAUAUUUGAACACCAAAAAAGCAUCACAAAUUUCUCACCAUACUCCAUCAUACUUUGUCUUCCACUCUUCUUCAGUUAUGUGAUUCACUCGGUAGAUAGAUCAUUCUCAUCAUAAACCAGAGUACUCCAAAGUUUAUCAUGUAUACUCCUAACAAAGAAUUAUUACCAAAAUCCACACACAAAAAACCACCGAAACAUAUAAUUAGACCUGCAAUUCUAAACCAUUCCGAAUCAGCUAAGCCAAACCAAGAUUUUUGGUUUUCGAUUCAAAUUCAGUUAUAAGUCCUGAACUGGUUGGAGUUAUUAUGAAAAAACUGGUUAUUAUUUUGGCUUGGUUUGAUAGUCACUUUUAGUUUGUUCUUAAAAAAUCACAACAAAAUGAUACUGGUUUUUAACAAACUAAACAUAGGCUUCCAUUGGUGACUCUUUGAUGAAUGGAAAAAAUGAAAACAUUACUAAACACAAUUUCAUUUGAAGAAUUGAUAAACAAAAAAAAAUUUGUUCAUUUUGUUCAGCAUCAAAAUUGGAAAGAAAAUUUUUUCUUCAUAAAUUCAUUUUUUUCAUGAGGAAUUAAAAGGAAUAGUGUGGGAUCCGGUUGUCAGUAAUUUUACUAAAAUUCAAUCUAAUUGGUAUAAAAUUUGAGGAACAAAAAAUUCACCAUAAUUUUUUUGGUAACCAAUUAGAGCCAUAAACUAUAUAGAAAUACUUCACAUGAAAUCUGAAUAAACAUAAUACAAUCAAAAUAAUUGUAUUGAACAAAAAUUAUCUAAUUUUUUGAAAAUUUUAAAAAAAAAAUCUAUUAAAAACCUAAAAAAAUAUGGUCAAAUUCGGUAAUUUUUUUAUAAAUUUAACGAAACAAAAACCAGACCAAAUUUUUGUUAGGUUCAAUAAGCCGUGUGACAUAUCAAAGAGCCGAUCCAUUGUUCUUUGUGGCGUCCUUCGAUCCAUUCCAUUCCUUGUCCGAAUCUUGAGAGAGACAUACGUCCAGCAAGAGCCGGAUCCAUACCUAUCUUCCUGUCCGACCUAGGCAUCUUGCUGAGAGAGACAUACGUCCAGCAGCAGAUCCCAUCCGCCAAUCUAUUCCUUUCUCUAUCUUUUGUUUUAGAUUUCAUUCAACCAAUUCCAUAAAAACCAAAAGAAUCAUAUCUAGUUUCUGUUCUUGUUCCUGUUGAAAACUCACUAAAGGUUCCUAUCUGUUUCAGGUUCGAACACAAGCAAGAGAUAAGCCGGCCAGUACCAUCCAUCCGUGGCAAGACUGAACCGCGGAACGACCAUCAGUCAGUCCGUCCGUCCGUUCGUUCGACCCUCCGACCCGUGCCUACAACAAUCCUAUUUUCUAAUUAGCAACUUAAAGUUUGCCCAAUUUUUAAGAUUUCCUCCUCUUAUCUAACCAAGUAUAUGAAAAAAAAAAUCAUUUAAUAUUUUUUGGUUUCUUUUUCUCAAACUCCAUUCAGAAAAGUGAUUUAGGUAACGAUACCUUAAUUAUUGAGGUAAAACUUGCAAACCUUAUUUAGACCUCAAGACCAAAUUAACGAAGGAGAAAAAAAGACAUAGAAGAGAGCGGGCCAAAGACUAAAUAAUUUGCAGGGUUUUUGAAUUUUAGCCGACACAUAAAUAUUUCUUACAACUUAAAGAGAAAAAGACAUCAUAUCCAUGGUAGAUGUGAAAGCUUAUGUGGUUUUCAGCAAAGUGUAUUCGGUGUGGGAGGUAGUACAAAAUAAAUAAGAAAAUAUCGUUAAAAUUAAGGAAAAACAACAUAUUUGAAACUGAUAUUACGUAUCUAACAAGGAAGACCAAUUAGGAAACAAAAAAAUAAAAAGAAGUGCGUGGAGUGAAAACAAAGAAGUAGUUUUGUUUGCAUUGGUCGAUUGAAUGUUAAAGUACAUCAUCUAUUUAUAGCAAACCACACUAGAUCUUGUUCACACAUA
Molecule: long non-coding RNA, 2433 nt
Filed under: Brassica napus (rape)
Lineage: Eukaryota; Viridiplantae; Streptophyta; Magnoliopsida; Brassicales; Brassicaceae
Description: long non-coding RNA (BNAP_LNC007640)
Source: RNAcentral